This 465-nucleotide ribosomal RNA is filed under the name Vreelandella stevensii. RNAcentral's name for it is "partial 16S ribosomal RNA". It matches the Rfam family "Bacterial small subunit ribosomal RNA", at positions 338 to 795 of the family's 1533-position model. Lineage: Bacteria; Pseudomonadati; Pseudomonadota; Gammaproteobacteria; Oceanospirillales; Halomonadaceae. The record is from RNAcentral.
CCUACGGGGUGCUGCAGUGGGGAAUAUUGGACAAUGGGCGAAAGCCUGAUCCAGCCAUGCCGCGUGUGUGAAGAAGGCCUUCGGGUUGUAAAGCACUUUCAGUGGGGAAGAAAGCCUUGGGGCUAAUACCCUCGAGGAAGGACAUCACCCACAGAAGAAGCACCGGCUAACUCCGUGCCAGCAGCCGCGGUAAUACGGAGGGUGCGAGCGUUAAUCGGAAUCACUGGGCGUAAAGCGCGCGUAGGCGGUCUGAUAAGCCGGUUGUGAAAGCCCCGGGCUCAACCUGGGAACGGCAUCCGGAACUGUCAGGCUAGAGUGCAGGAGAGGAAGGUAGAAUUCCCGGUGUAGCGGUGAAAUGCGUAGAGAUCGGGAGGAAUACCAGUGGCGAAGGCGGCCUUCUGGACUGACACUGACGCUGAGGUGCGAAAGCGUGGGUAGCAAACAGGAUUAGAUACCCCAGUAGUC